UCCCUCGCCUUCUCACCCUCAG
RNAcentral lists this microRNA (22 nucleotides) under Homo sapiens (human). Its description in RNAcentral is "hsa-miR-6803-3p". Lineage: Eukaryota; Metazoa; Chordata; Mammalia; Primates; Hominidae. The record is from miRBase by way of RNAcentral.